Balaenoptera acutorostrata (minke whale) is the source of this 1109-nucleotide RNA transcript. RefSeq lists it as uncharacterized. The record is from RefSeq and is a predicted model, not a curated record. The transcript is spliced from 3 exons. Lineage: Eukaryota; Metazoa; Chordata; Mammalia; Artiodactyla; Balaenopteridae.
UUCCCUUGGGCAGGAAUGAGUGCCUUUGGUGGCCAUCUGGCCCAGCCUCUCUCAGUCGCUCCAGGUGGUUCUGUAAAGCAUCAGGGACGCCUGGCUGGCACACUGUUUAGUGAGAGAGAUGCCUUGCAGGGAUUCGCCCACAUCUUCCAUUCCGUUGGUUAAAAGCUGCAGCGGAUGGUUGUUGGUGGGACUCAUGUCAGAGUAGACACCGGUAAAAACUGGCUCAUUCUGGCUUUUUCCCUCUGUGAGAGGGAAAGAAAUAAUCAGUGUGUGAGCGGAGCUAAGGGUUUCUGGCCCACGCCGAGGAAUUUGGCCACGUGUGCCCUGGGAGGUACCGCCAGCCACUUGGAGCCUCUGAUCCUGAGGGAGCUCGUCCUGGACUCUGAGUCCUGCAGACCACCCCGUUCCCACAUCAUCUGGCUGGACUUUAUGGUCCUUUUAACUUGGGGAACUUCAUACCCUCCACCACCAGAGGAAAAAAGUCUCAUGGAGAACCCAGGAUCAGAAUUCACAUGAGGAGUGACAUUAUCUAUUUCCUGUUGAUCAAAGCUCUGUUUCUGCUGGUAGCCUCCAGUCAGUCCUGGUGGAUGUUCCUGGGCUGUGUGUCUUUCACAGUGAUCUCCUCUGGUCCCCCUGGAGCACCUGUGGGUCUUAUCGCCGCCUCUUCUGCACAGACGGGCAAGCUGAGGCUUGCAGGUGCCGCCAGCCGCUGGGCAGUCCCACGGCAGGAGCUGGAGUCGCCCUCCUUCUGGGCCCUUCCUGAGUCCUCCCGGCCUUCCUCCCACCGUGUGGGGCUGCAGCCCUUCCACACGGCCCUCAGAGCCGUCUCCUGCCCUCCGGUCUCAUUCCCAUCCAGGCCUCUUCUUUGCGCGAGCAGAUCCGAGCCCGCUGGGACACGGGCAGCAAGGCCCGGCUCCUCUCCGUCACAUGGAAGGUGCUUCUUAGUGUCGAUCCCACUUCUUUGCUUCGACAAGCCCUGAAGUGCCACAGUCACCUCCCCCGCUAUUUCCAGUUCUCCCCCAUCACUGUUGGUGUUUCUCUUCUGGUCAUAAUUAGGUUGAGAACAGUGAUCGCUUCCCAAGCUUCUCUGCACCUCUGAGUCUAACAUU